UCCAAAUACUCCCUCGUGAAUUUUCUGUGUCUAACGUUUAACUAUUCGUUUUAUUUGAAUUUUUUAUUAAUAUUUUUUUAUUAUUAGAUGAUAAAAUAUUAAUAGUACUUUAUACGUGAUUUAAUUUUUAUUUUUUAUAAAUUUUUUAAGUAAGACAGAUGAUCAAACAUUGAACAGAAGUUAACGGCUGUACUUGAA
MicroRNA precursor from Oryza sativa Indica Group (long-grained rice), 198 nucleotides. It matches the Rfam family "MIR812 microRNA precursor family". The record is from Rfam. Lineage: Eukaryota; Viridiplantae; Streptophyta; Magnoliopsida; Poales; Poaceae.